RNAcentral lists this ribosomal RNA (747 nucleotides) under Triticum aestivum (bread wheat). RNAcentral's name for it is "partial small subunit ribosomal RNA". The record is from RNAcentral. Lineage: Eukaryota; Viridiplantae; Streptophyta; Magnoliopsida; Poales; Poaceae.
AUGCCGGCGCCGGCUCCAGCGGUGGCCGGCCCGGCCGCCUCGCCGGAGAGCAAGCAGCAGCAGCAGGGCCAGGGCCAGGGUGAGGGGCAGAUGGGCGCGGCGGCGGGGGCCAUCGUGCCGCUGCGGAGGCCGCGGGGGCGGCCGAUGGGGUCCAAGAACAAGCCCAAGCCGCCGAUAAUCAUCACCCGCGACAGCCCCGACGCGCUCCACUCGCACAUCCUGGAGGUGGCCCCCGGCGCCGACGUCGCGGCCUGCGUCGCCGAGUACGCGCGCCGCCGCGGCCGGGGCGUCUGCGUGCUGGGCGCGUCCGGCUCCGUCGUGGACGUCGUCGUGCGCGGCGCGGCCUCGGCGGCGCCCCUCCCGGGCCGCUUCGAGCUCCUCUCCAUGACCGGGACCGUGCUCCCGCCCCCGGCGCCGUCCGAGGCGUCGGGACUCGCCGUCAUGCUCUCCGCCGGGCAGGGCCAGGUCCUCGGCGGGUGCGUCGUGGGGCCGCUCGUCGCCGCCGGGCCCGUCACCCUCUUCGCCGCCACCUUCGCCAACGCCGUCUACGAGCGCCUGCCCCUCCAGGACGCCGCCGACGCCGACGUCAAGCCCGACCUCUCCGCCGCCCCCGACGCCUCGGUCCCGCAAGAAGUGCAAGCGCAGCAGCCACUGGCGAUCUCCCAGGCCAUGGCCAUGGGCGCGGGCUACCCUGACCACCGCUCACCCCAGUACCCGUGGGGAGGCCACCAGGGAGGCGGCAUCUGA